GGAUGAACGCUGGCGGCGUGCUUAACACAUGCAAGUCGAACGGAAAGGCUCCUGCUUGCAGGGGUACUCGAGUGGCGAACGGGUGAGUAACACGUGGGUGAUCUGCCCUGCACUUCGGGAUAAGCUUGGGAAACUGGGUCUAAUACCGGAUAGGACCGCAUUUUGGAUGGUGUGGUGGAAAGUUUUUUCGGUGUGGGAUGAGCUCGCGGCCUAUCAGCUUGUUGGUGGGGUAAUGGCCUACCAAGGCGUCGACGGGUAGCCGGCCUGAGAGGGUGUACGGCCACAUUGGGACUGAGAUACGGCCCAGACUCCUACGGGAGGCAGCAGUGGGGAAUAUUGCACAAUGGGCGCAAGCCUGAUGCAGCGACGCCGCGUGGGGGAUGACGGCCUUCGGGUUGUAAACUCCUUUCGCUAGGGACGAAGAGUAAUUGACGGUACCUGGAGAAGAAGCACCGGCUAACUACGUG
RNAcentral lists this ribosomal RNA (467 nucleotides) under uncultured bacterium. RNAcentral describes it as "partial 16S ribosomal RNA". It matches the Rfam family "Bacterial small subunit ribosomal RNA", at positions 27 to 507 of the family's 1533-position model. The record is from RNAcentral.